UGAUGCAGCCAUGCCGCGUGUGUGAUGAAGGCCUUCGGGAUCGUAACUUCUGUCAGUAGGGAUGAUAAUGACAGUACCUACAGAGGAAACCCCGGCUAACUCCGUGCCAGCAGCCGCGGUAAUACUGAGGGUGCUAGCGUUGUUCGGAAUUACUGGGCGUAAAGCGUAUCUAAGCGGCGAGUUAAGUCGAAUGUUAAAGCCCGGGGCUCAACCCCAUGGAUGCCUUCGAUACUGGCUUGCUAGAGGGCGAUAGAGGAGAGUGGAAUUCCGAGUGUAACGGUGAAAUGCAUAUAUAUUCGGAGGAACAUCAUUGGCGAAGGCGACUUUCUGGGUCACACCUGACGCUGAGGUACUAAAGCGUGGGUAGCAAACAGGAUUAAAUACCCUGGUAGUCCACGCCGUAAACGAUGGAUGCUAGGCGUAGCGGAUAUCAUCCCUUGCUGUGCCGAAUUUAACUCUAUAAUCAUCCCCCCUGGAGAGUACGUUCGCAAGAAUGAAUCUCAAAGAAUUUGAGGG
This 516-nucleotide ribosomal RNA is filed under the name uncultured marine bacterium. Its description in RNAcentral is "bacterial SSU rRNA". It matches the Rfam family "Bacterial small subunit ribosomal RNA", at positions 384 to 916 of the family's 1533-position model. The record is from RNAcentral.